This 347-nucleotide transfer-messenger RNA is filed under the name Deltaproteobacteria bacterium. It matches the Rfam family "transfer-messenger RNA". Rfam says of the family: Bacterial tmRNA, also known as 10Sa RNA or SsrA, is named for its dual tRNA and mRNA-like properties. Its role is to liberate the mRNA from a stalled ribosome. To accomplish this part of the tmRNA is used as a reading frame that ends in a translation stop signal. Lineage: Bacteria; Pseudomonadati; Myxococcota; Myxococcia. RNAcentral also lists the same sequence under 2 other names. The record is from RNAcentral.
GGGGGCGUACUGGCUUCGACGUGGGUAGGGAACUAAAAGUUGCAUGCCGAGGUCCUGUCUGCUCGUAAAACAGGUAGGGACUAUACAACUGCCGACAAUUACGGCUACGCUUUAGCCGCUUAAGGCUAACGCCUGAAGAAGCUAGCCGGGAGGAUUCUUCAGGUGACGGCAUUCCGGCUAGAUCACUACUGAUGUCUGCGCUCUAGUGAUCGAAACCUUAGUGGGCUAGCGUAUCGGGCAUUCUGCCGGCGGAAGGCCUGAUAGGUGAAAGAAAUACACUGGCUAAGCAUGUAGACGCUUUUAGGGACUAUUUGCGGACGCGGGUUCGAUUCCCGCCGCCUCCACCA